Molecule: ribosomal RNA, 274 nt
Filed under: uncultured bacterium
Lineage: Bacteria
Description: partial 16S ribosomal RNA
Rfam family: Bacterial small subunit ribosomal RNA
Source: RNAcentral
AUACGGAGGGUCCGAGCGUUAUCCGGAAUCAUUGGGUUUAAAGGGUCCGUAGGCGGGAAUCUAAGUCAGUGGUGAAAUCUUGCAGCUCAACUGUAAAAUUGCCAUUGAUACUGGAUUUCCUGAAUUAGUGUGAAGUGGUUAGAAUGUGUAAUGUAGCGGUGAAAUGCAUAGAUAUUACACAGAAUACCAAUUGCGAAGGCAGAUCACUAACACUAUAUUGACGCUAAGGGACGAAAGCGUGGGGAGCGAACAGGAUUAGAAACCCCGGUAGUCC